This 70-nucleotide transfer RNA is filed under the name Ochromonas sp. CCMP1393. It matches the Rfam family "tRNA". From Rfam's summary of the family: Transfer RNA (tRNA) molecules are approximately 80 nucleotides in length. Their secondary structure includes four short double-helical elements and three loops (D, anti-codon, and T loops). The record is from RNAcentral. Lineage: Eukaryota; Chrysophyceae; Chromulinales; Chromulinaceae.
GCUUGUAGCUCAGGUGGUUAGAGCGCACGCCUGAUAAGCGUGAGGUCGGAGGUUCAAGUCCUCCCAAGCC